AACGAACGCUGGCGGCAUGCCUAACACAUGCAAGUCGAACGAGACCUUCGGGUCUAGUGGCGCACGGGUGCGUAACGCGUGGGAACCUGCCCUUAGGUUCGGAAUAACUCCCCGAAAGGGGUGCUAAUACCGGAUAAUGUCUUCGGACCAAAGAUUUAUCGCCUUUGGAUGGGCCCGCGUUGGAUUAGCUAGUUGGUAGGGUAAAAGCCUACCAAGGCGACGAUCCAUAGCUGGUCUGAGAGGAUGAUCAGCCACACUGGGACUGAGACACGGCCCAGACUCAUACGGGAGGAAGCAGUGGGGAAUAUUGGACAAUGGGCGAAAGCCUGAUACAGCAAUGCCGCGUGAGUGAUGAAGGCCUUAGGGUUGUAAAGCUCUUUUACCCGGGAUGAUAAUGACAGUACCGGGAGAAUAAGCACCGGCUAACUCCGUG
This 433-nucleotide ribosomal RNA is filed under the name uncultured bacterium. Its description in RNAcentral is "partial 16S ribosomal RNA". It matches the Rfam family "Bacterial small subunit ribosomal RNA", at positions 29 to 507 of the family's 1533-position model. The record is from RNAcentral.